This 253-nucleotide ribosomal RNA is filed under the name uncultured bacterium. RNAcentral describes it as "partial 16S ribosomal RNA". It matches the Rfam family "Bacterial small subunit ribosomal RNA", at positions 524 to 776 of the family's 1533-position model. The record is from RNAcentral.
UACGGAGGGUGCAAGCGUUAUCCGGAUUUACUGGGUUUAAAGGGUGCGCAGGCGGAUGUGUAAGUCAGUGGUGAAAUCUCUGGGCUUAACCCGGAAAUUGCCAUUGAUACUAUAUAUCUUGAAUGCUGUGGAGGUAAGCGGAAUAUGUCAUGUAGCGGUGAAAUGCUUAGAUAUGACAUAGAACACCUAUUGCGAAGGCAGCUUACUACGCAGAUAUUGACGCUCAUGCACGAAAGCGUGGGGAUCAAACAGG